RNAcentral lists this long non-coding RNA (704 nucleotides) under Mytilus galloprovincialis (Mediterranean mussel). The record is from RNAcentral. Lineage: Eukaryota; Metazoa; Mollusca; Bivalvia; Mytilida; Mytilidae.
CAAAAUCAAGUAAUAAUGAGGGGGUGAAGGUCAAGUGAACAGUCUCAUACAGACAUACCGUACAAACAUUCCAUUCAACAAAUAUAGUUGACCUAUUGCUUAAAUUACCUGGAAAAAUAACAAAACUAUGAAAAAAGCAUUGAGCAUUGAAAAUGAGGUCCAGGUCAUAAGCACUCUGCCAGACAGACAUGUAGAUCUAAUAAUUCCAUACACCAAAUAUAGUUGACCAAUUGCUUAAACUACCUGAUAAACUGAAAAAUAAGAAAUGAAAAAAAAACUGAAAAAAAAAUAAUGACAAACAAACCAUGAAAACGAGGUCAAGAUCAUAUAAACCCUGCUAGACAGAGAUUUACACUUAACAAUUGUUGUAUACACAAGAUAUUGUUUACCUACUGCUUAUAGUAUCUGAUUAACUGAGAAAAUAAUGAAAACUGAAAAUUGACCAAUGAUCCAUGAAAAUGAGGUCAAGGUCAGAUGAACCCUGCCUGGCAGACAAGCAGAAAUUUAAAAAAAAAAUUGUACACCAAAUAUAUAUGACCAAUUGCUUAAUAUAUCUGAUAAACUGGGGGAAAAAAAACAUGAAAAAAGUAACAUUUACCACUGAACAAUAAAAAUGAGGUCAAGGUCAUAUGAAACCUGCCAGACAUACAUGUACAUCUAACAAUAAUUCCAUUGCUUGAAGUACACUAGAAAAAGACCAAGCC